CCAGCAUAAAUGUGGACAUCUGUGAGAAGACACAGAACAGAGCUGGGAGUCAAAGUCUGAGAUGAGGAGAAGGACCCGGAAGAAAGCUUAAAAGCAGCAAAACAGGAAAGAGGGAAGGAAUGAUGGAGAAGAUGCACAGCCUGUUGGCUUCCUUAUGACCUGCACCACACUGGAGUGCAGAGAUUGGAACACAAGCUCUGUCUUCCUGUUGGAUCUCAGCUCUUCUCCAGUCCUUCAAGGAAGAAGGCCACUUGCAUCAUGAAGGCAUGUGCUUGAUUAGUGUCUCUCUGGACUGAAGGCCCAGCCAUGGGACAAGGCAGUGUUUACACAAAACACAGGAGGCACGUUGGAGCAGGAAAUACAAGGGCACUCAUCCUAAGACAACAAGCAGCCUUGGCUGAAAACCACAGAGUGGUUUCAAGGGAUGCUGCUGUCUAG
This 438-nucleotide long non-coding RNA is filed under the name Serinus canaria (Common canary). RNAcentral describes it as "lncRNA (ENSSCAG00000003828.1)". The record is from RNAcentral. Lineage: Eukaryota; Metazoa; Chordata; Aves; Passeriformes; Fringillidae.